UUAUCGGAGAGUUUGAUCCUGGCUCAGGACGAACGCUGGCGGCGUGCCUAAUACAUGCAAGUCGAGCGGACUUAAAAAGCUUGCUUUUUAAGUUAGCGGCGGACGGGUGAGUAACACGUGGGCAACCUGCCUGUAAGACUGGGAUAACUUCGGGAAACCGGAGCUAAUACCGGAUAAUCCUUUUCUACUCAUGUAGAAAAGCUGAAAGACGGUUUACGCUGUCACUUACAGAUGGGCCCGCGGCGCAUUAGCUAGUUGGUGAGGUAACGGCUCACCAAGGCGACGAUGCGUAGCCGACCUGAGAGGGUGAUCGGCCACACUGGGACUGAGACACGGCCCAGACUCCUACGGGAGGCAGCAGUAGGGAAUCUUCCGCAAUGGACGAAAGUCUGACGGAGCAACGCCGCGUGAGUGAUGAAGGUUUUCGGAUCGUAAAACUCUGUUGUUAGGGAAGAACAAGUACGUGAGUAACUGCUCGUACCUUGACGGUACCUAACCAGAAAGCCACGGCUAACUACGUGCCAGCAGCCGCGGUAAUACGUAGGUGGCAAGCGUUGUCCGGAAUUAUUGGGCGUAAAGCGCGCGCAGGCGGUCCUUUAAGUCUGAUGUGAAAGCCCACGGCUCAACCGUGGAGGGUCAUUGGAAACUGGGGGACUUGAGUGCAGAAGAGAAGAGUGGAAUUCCACGUGUAGCGGUGAAAUGCGUAGAGAUGUGGAGGAACACCAGUGGCGAAGGCGACUCUUUGGUCUGUAACUGACGCUGAGGCGCGAAAGCGUGGGGAGCAAACAGGAUUAGAUACCCUGGUAGUCCACGCCGUAAAC
Molecule: ribosomal RNA, 821 nt
Filed under: Mesorhizobium sp. M7A.F.Ca.MR.362.00.0.0
Lineage: Bacteria; Pseudomonadati; Pseudomonadota; Alphaproteobacteria; Hyphomicrobiales; Phyllobacteriaceae
Description: bacterial SSU rRNA
Rfam family: Bacterial small subunit ribosomal RNA
Source: RNAcentral